AGUCGUAACAAGGUUUCCGUAGGUGAACCUGCGGAAGGAUCAUUAACAACGUUUUCUCUAUUUCACUAAUCGUUGAUCAAUUCAACUUUUUUUGAAAUUUAAUAACACCAAUUUACACCGAACUGUCGAACCCUAUGUACUGUAUUUACCCCAAACCCCAAAACUUAAUAAAAACCAGGCACUGAACUCCCUUUUUGGGUGUGGUUCGGUCCUAAAACAAUAAAUUUAAAACCAAAAAAUCAAAAGAUUAUUAAUCUUAACUUAAUCAAUCUUACUACACAACUUUCAACAAUGGAUAUCUUGGCUCUCGC
This 311-nucleotide unclassified non-coding RNA is filed under the name fungal sp. RNAcentral's name for it is "partial internal transcribed spacer region". The stretch from base 1 to 45 matches the Rfam family "Eukaryotic small subunit ribosomal RNA", at positions 1787 to 1831 of the family's 1831-position model. The record is from RNAcentral. Lineage: Eukaryota; Fungi.